AAGUUCCUGGGCCAGGCAUCAAACCCGUGUCACAGCAGCAACCUAAGCUGCUGCAGUGACAAUGCUGGAUCCGCAACCUGCUGUGCCACAAGGGCUGGGGAUGGAGGAGCUAAUGUAUUUGCAGACUUCAUUAUACUGAGUACUCUGUUCAGAGGUCCCAGAGCCACAGCCCCGAUGAAUGGAAGUCUUUAAACACUGCCGCCCAAAACAAUGUCCUCAGCCCUGUUCUGUCUCCUGUUAUUAAAAGCCUCACUCACCCUGCAGGCGGAGGAGGGCCAUGAUGGGAGGCACCUGGCCCUGGGGCAGCAGCGGAAGGGGUGUGGCUCUAAGGAAUUGGGUGGACCUGAGAUACCUGUUCACCUUUCUGAGGGGUCGGCUGAGCAGCAGCCAUUAGUCCUGAGCUCCGAGGCCUCCUAGGGCCUGACAAAGUGGCAGAAAGGCACAAGGACACCAAUGUCUAAUCACCACCAAGAAGGAUUUCCUUACAGUGGAUGGAAGCAGCACAGAUUUUGGGAAGAGCACUGACUUCAGCAUUUCUCCAGGUUUGUAUCUCACUCUGACUCAUCAGCUGUCAACCAUGUGUGAGUUGCUCAGUGUGUCCCAGCUUCCUUGUAUGUGGAAAGGAGGGAACAUCGUUAUAUGGAUAUGAACUCGUGUAAACAAAGUGCUUGCAUCUGCAUAAAAUGCCAGGCACAUAUUAGGAACUCCCUAAAAUUGCCUUCCUUGUUUCCUGCACCUGGAGUUUACAUCAGAGUGGGGAUUAAAACCACCUGGGUGGUCUGUUAGUCUUAAAGGUCCCAUCUGGAUCUGAGAGUCUGACUUUGUAAAUUGAUGGAAUUGAUUUUGGGUGGGGGUAAAGGGAGAGACAUGCUGGUAAGGUAAAUACAGUGCCAAGGAAAAAAGCUGAUCCUUUGGAGUAAUGAUUUAUCCUAUUCUCUUUGGCCUGUGAGUGGAGUAGGCUGUGUUUCUCUGAAGUGGUUGGCUACGAGCUGGCUGGGGAGGCCCGAACCUUGGGAAUCUCCUCAGUGUCUUCAAAACAACCCAGAUAAAUACGCAGUCUAAGUACAUAUUGUUUUUUGGCUGUGGAAAUUUAGCACCAACACAAGUCCAUGCCUGCCCACCUCAGUUUCUAAGCCCCUCCCACAUAGAAAAGGGGGAGCUGCCUUGCCCUGUAACUCGGUGAACUUGGUCAGUGUGAUGGGGAAGAUAAAAAUACACAUUCUGUUCUAGGCUUGCCCAUGCUUAAUGAUUCCUUGGAUGAGAGUUGAGUAUGAAGAAGCUGCAUUCAUUGUUUAGGGUGCGUGUGUACUGUUUCCCUCAUGCCCCUAGUCAGCUCACCUCCCCAAGCUAAACCUGGAUAUCCACAAGUAGAAGCAGGUGCUUAGGAGAAUGUAUCGUUGGGAGUUCCUACUGUGGCACAGUGGGUUAAGGAUCUGAUGGCAGCAGCUCGGGUUGCUGUGGCAAUGCAUGUUUGAUUCCUGACCACCACAUGCCUUGGGUAUGCCCCCCCCCCCAAAAGCAACCUGUUGUUUGGGGUAGUAUGAGGAGAACCAAGAGAUUAGCAUCCUUCCCAUGAAUUCUUUCUUGAUCCUAGGGCAAGAGUGAGCUGUCUUUGCAAACGGGUCAACUAUCAAACUGCUUUUAUUGGACAUUCAAUUUAUUUUUUCUUUUCUCUUUCUUUCUUUCUUUCUUUCUUUCUUUCUUUCUUUCUUUCUUUCUUUCUUUCUUUUUCUUUUUUUCCUUCUUUCUUUCUUUCUUUCUUUCUUUCUUUCUUUCUUUCUUUCUUUCUUUCUUUCUUUCUUUCAUCUUUUUGUCUUUUUUAGGGCCACACCCACGGCAUGUGGAGGUUCCCAGGCUAGGGGUCGAAUUGGAGUUGUAGCUGCAGGACUACACCACAGCCAUAGCAACAGGGGAUCCGAGCCGCAUCUGCAACCUUCGCAAUAGCUCAGGGCAGCACUGGAUCCUUAACCCACCAAGCAAGGGAUCGAACCUCAUGGAUGCUAGUCAGAUUCGUUUCUGUUUAGCCAUGACGGGAACUCCCCAAUUUAUUCUUUCAUCUGUUCAGUUAAUCAGCCUGUGUAUAUUGCUAAGCUUGCUAGGCUCUGGAAAUAAAAUACUGAUUCACAGGGAAAUUUGGAAUCUAGUGGGAAGGAAUCAUAGGUUGGGGUCUGCCUAGCCAUGGUGGACUGUCACAUCACUGUCACCAGACUGAGAGGAAAGUCUCGCCCUUUUUGUUGUGGUGCUUUGCACCCUGGACGCCAGCUGACCCAGGGUCCCUCUAUGGGAGUAGGAGGAUGGGAUGACUCAGUGGGUCACAGGUGGAGGAGAGCAGGUGGUAUGUCCUUUGCAAGGUUUCCUAAAUGUCUGCAAGGUAACUGUGAAAUAAAUAAACAAGCUCAAUGAAUGAUGCAGCACGUACUCAUGAAUCAGUCCUGAACUGUUCAUUUUUCUGCUUCCUGUGCUUUUGUGCUAGUUUUGAAGAAUAUGCUUUCCACCCUUUAUCUUGAGUGAAAACAAUGUGGUCCUUCUUUCUCCCUCCACCCCAUCCUCAACAGUAUUUUCCCUUAAAAUUUUCCAGUUUAGCCUAUUUUUUUUCAGUACCUGACUCUCAUCUAAGCUCAGUAAGGGCAAAAAAUCCCGGUCAGUCCCCAAGCUUGGUCUCCCUUGGGAAAGACUGCCACAGUCUGGGGAUAAGACAUGGAGCCUUACAGUGAGAGAAGAGUCACAGUCACUAAAGUAUCCACCUGUGGUGGACCGGGUCAUGUGCAGUGUGAUGAUGGUAACCACAGCCCCAGGCCCCCAUUCCUGAAAUCCUGAGAGUCUGACAAAGCCAAGAUUUUUCUGAAGUUUGUGGCAAACUCCCUGGCUGGCAAAACUGGGCGGAACUGACAUGAGUUUAUUUAUAGUCUUGUAUUUAUCCUACAUAGUAUGAAUAUUCAUACAUUUUGUUAAAGAAAUAUUAAUGUGUUUAAUUAUGAGAUGCUGCCACAUACCCUGUUGGGAGUGUUAUGUAAUUUAUGGAAGAUGCCUCAUAUUAACUUUCUAAAAUUCAAAAAAUUCUGAAUUUUUAAACACAUUGGUCUCACGGAUUUCUUUUAAGUGUGGUGGAACUAUAUUCUUUUUUCAGGCUGUCUUAUGGUCUUUAUCUUUUGUAAAGACCAGACCAUUUUUCGUUAAUUUUCUUGAGGGUACAAAGCAGAAGCUUUUCUAAAACUCUGUUUUUAACCAUAUAUGCUUUCUCCCACAACAUCCCAAAUUAGCUUUUAUUUUAUAUAUACUGUGCUUAGUAUUUGGGGUUUUUUUUUGGUAACUAAAAAAAAAAAAAAAAAAAAAAAUCCCUGAUAAGCAACGUGGUCCUACUGUAUAGCAUAGGGAACUAUAUCCAGUCACUUGUGAUGGAACAUAAUGGAAGAUAUUACAAGAAAAAGAAUAUAUAUAUAUAUGUGUGUGUGUGUGUGUGUAUAUGUAUAAGAAUGUAUACAUUCUUAUAUGUAUAAUGUGUAAUAUAUGUAUAGGAAUGUCUAUAUAUAUAUAUUUAAAACUGGGUCACUUUGUCAUACAGCAGAAAUUGACAGAAUAUUGUAAAUCAAGUAUAAUAAAAAAUUUUAAAAAAAGAAGAGGAGC
This 3624-nucleotide long non-coding RNA is filed under the name Sus scrofa (pig). RNAcentral's name for it is "lncRNA (ENSSSCG00035071847.1)". The record is from RNAcentral. Lineage: Eukaryota; Metazoa; Chordata; Mammalia; Artiodactyla; Suidae.